This 162-nucleotide ribosomal RNA is filed under the name Elaeoselinum lagascae. RNAcentral's name for it is "Thapsia tenuifolia 5.8S ribosomal RNA". It matches the Rfam family "5.8S ribosomal RNA". Rfam says of the family: 5.8S ribosomal RNA (5.8S rRNA) is a component of the large subunit of the eukaryotic ribosome. Lineage: Eukaryota; Viridiplantae; Streptophyta; Magnoliopsida; Apiales; Apiaceae. The record is from RNAcentral.
AAAUACUCUCGGCAACGGAUAUCCCGGCUCUCGCAUCGAUGAAGAACGUAGCGAAAUGCGAUACUUGGUGUGAAUUGCAGAAUCCCGUGAACCAUCGAGUCUUUGAAUGCAAGUUGCGCCCGAAGCCAUUAGGCCGAGGGCACGUCUGCCUGGGUGUCACUC